Molecule: ribosomal RNA, 253 nt
Filed under: uncultured bacterium
Lineage: Bacteria
Description: partial 16S ribosomal RNA
Rfam family: Bacterial small subunit ribosomal RNA
Source: RNAcentral
UACGAAGGGGGCUAGCGUUGCUCGGAAUCAUUGGGCGUAAAGCGCGUGUAGGCGGCCAGAAAAGUCCGCUGUGAAAACUCGAGGCUCAACUUCGAGCUGUCGGUGGAAACUUUCUGGCUAGAGUCCGGAAGAGGAGAAUGGAAUUCCUGGUGUAGCGGUGAAAUGCGCAGAUAUCAGGAAGAACACCCGUGGCGAAGGCGGUUCUCUGGGACGGUACUGACGCUGAGACGCGAAAGCGUGGGGAGCGAACAGG